This 88-nucleotide transfer RNA is filed under the name Alistipes sp. Its description in RNAcentral is "tRNA-Ser". It matches the Rfam family "tRNA". Rfam says of the family: Transfer RNA (tRNA) molecules are approximately 80 nucleotides in length. Their secondary structure includes four short double-helical elements and three loops (D, anti-codon, and T loops). Lineage: Bacteria; Pseudomonadati; Bacteroidota; Bacteroidia; Bacteroidales; Rikenellaceae. The record is from RNAcentral. RNAcentral also lists the same sequence under 1 other name.
GGAGAGGUGACCGAGUGGUUUAAGGAGCGCGCCUGGAAAGUGCGUACACCUCAAAAGGGUGUCGAGGGUUCGAAUCCCUCUCUCUCCG